Molecule: ribosomal RNA, 440 nt
Filed under: uncultured bacterium
Lineage: Bacteria
Description: bacterial SSU rRNA
Rfam family: Bacterial small subunit ribosomal RNA
Source: RNAcentral
AACGCGAAGAACCUUACCUGGGCUCGAAAUGCAGUGGAAGACGGCAGAGAUGACGUCGUCCGUAAGGACUGCUGCAUAGGUGCUGCAUGGCUGUCGUCAGCUCGUGCCGUGAGGUGUUGGGUUAAGUCCCGCAACGAGCGCAACCCUUAUCAUUAGUUGCCAACACGAAAGGUGGGUACUCUAGUGAGACUGCCUGGGUUAACCAGGAGGAAGGCGAGGAUGACGUCAAGUCCGCAUGGCCUUUAUGUCCAGGGCUACACACGUGCUACAAUGGUCGGUACAGAGGGCUGCAAAUUCGUAAGAUAGAGCAAAUCCCAUAAAGCCGAUCUCAGUUCAGAUUGUGGUCUGCAACUCGACCACAUGAAGCUGGAAUUGCUAGUAAUGGCGUGUCAGCAACAACGCCGUGAAUACGUUCCCGGGCCUUGUACACACCGGUACUA